This 109-nucleotide Y RNA is filed under the name Prolemur simus (greater bamboo lemur). RNAcentral describes it as "Y RNA (ENSPSMG00000014478.1)". It matches the Rfam family "Y RNA". Rfam says of the family: Y RNAs are components of the Ro ribonucleoprotein particle (Ro RNP), in association with Ro60 and La proteins. The Y RNAs and Ro60 and La proteins are well conserved, but the function of the Ro RNP is not known. Lineage: Eukaryota; Metazoa; Chordata; Mammalia; Primates; Lemuridae. The record is from Rfam by way of RNAcentral.
GGCUGGUCCUAAGGUAGUGAGCUCUCACUUGAUUGUUCACAGUCAGUUAUAGAUUGAACUCCUUCUUUUACUACUCCCCGCCCCCACUACCGUACUUGACUAGUCUUAA